CGCGCAGGCGGUUUUAUAAGUCUGGUGUGAAAGCCCACGGCUCAACCGUGGAGGGUCACUGGAAACUGUAAGACUUGAGUAUAGGAGAGGAAAGUGGAAUUCCAUGUGUAGCGGUGAAAUGCGUAGAUAUAUGGAGGAACACCAGUGGCGAAGGCGACCUUCUGGCCUAUAACUGACGCUGAGGCGCGAAAGCGUGGGGAGCAAACA
RNAcentral lists this ribosomal RNA (207 nucleotides) under uncultured Bacillota bacterium. RNAcentral describes it as "uncultured Firmicutes bacterium partial 16S ribosomal RNA". It matches the Rfam family "Bacterial small subunit ribosomal RNA", at positions 568 to 774 of the family's 1533-position model. The record is from RNAcentral. Lineage: Bacteria; Bacillati; Bacillota.